CUUUUUGCUAUUUCUUGGGCUGCUCCCGCGGCAUAUGGAGGUUCCCAGGCUAGGGGUCCAAUCGGAGCUGUAGCCACCGGCCUACACCAAAGCCACAGCAACGUGGGAUCUGAGCCGCGUCUGCAACCUACACCACAGCUCAUGGCAACGCCGGAUCGUUAACCCACUGAGCAAGGGCAGGGACCGAACCCGCAACCUCAUGGUUCCUAGUCGGAUUCGUUAACCACUGCACCAUGACGGGAACUCCCUUUUUUCUUUCUUUCUUUUUUUUUUUCUGUCUUUUUAGGGCCGAACUUGGGGCAUAUGGAGGCUCCCAGGCUAGGGGUUCAAUCGGAGCUGGAGCUGCAGGCCUACACCACAGCCACAGCAACGCCAGAUCCGAGCCGUGUCCUAUACCACAGCUCACGGCAAUGCCAGAUCCUCAACCCACUCAGCAGGGCCAGGGAUCGAACCCACAACCUCAUGGUUCCCAGUAGGAUUCGUUUCUGCUGAGCCACAACAGGAACUCCUCAACUGUUUUCUAAUUUGGACAAGUUCUUGUGCCUGAAAGAACGGUGUGUAAAUCUGGAUGAUAAAGAUUUUUUUUCAGUUAUUCCUGAAGAAUUCCUAUAUAUCCACCAUAUGGAGAAAUUAUUGGUCUGAAUUUCAGCUGAGUAUGGUCCUUCCAAAUUAGGUAAGGAUGUACUUGUUUUUACAUCACUUGGAAAAGUUACUUGGCCAAUAACGUAUUUAAGAGUUAAAGUUUCUGUGCAUCUUAGGGUGUAGCCUGUACCCAUGGUAAAUUGCAGAAAUAGCAGUCUUUAUUGUUAAAAAGCAGAGAGCUAUGUGUAGUUAAUUGAUCCCUUUCUACAUGCUAGGAAUUAUUCUAAGCAUUUUAUAAACAUUAGCUCAUUUAAUCUACAUACUCAUUCUACAAGAUAAAAUACUAUUAUUCUUCCCAUUUUACAGCUGCAGAAAUGGAAUUACAGAGGUUAAGCUAUAUUUGCUCAAGGUCACCCAGAUAAGGAAAUGGUAAAUCUGUAAUUCAAACACAGGAAUUCUGGCUACUAAGUCUAAGCUCUUAACCAGUGGUAUACUCUGCUUCUCCAAAAACAAUUUGUAGAGUUAUUUUAUUUUGUUUUUAAGUAACUCUUACAUUGUAACUCUCAGAUCUGCCAAACCAGGAAGGAAAUCUGCUAACUGGUAGCAACCAGAAGCAUUUCCCUGUUUCUCAUCCGUCUAUUCUUCCGGUUGAUGAACAACCCAUAUAGCUAUCUUUCUUAAAUGUUUCAUUUAGCAAAAUGAAUUAGGUAUCAUCAAUUCCUUAGUGUAGUAAAGACUAAGCACUGAAGACUGAAGAAAGGUAAAUGUCUACCAAAGUGACAUGCAGAGGUAUAUGCAAAAAAAAAGUUAUUGUAGCUGAAGCCAGAAGUAGUUGUUUUCUUAUACUUAUCAGCAAUUUUUUCAUCAAAUUUAGGUUCUGCUUCAGAGUUGUCACUGCUUUUGUUUCUUUGCAUGGUGUUUCUAUAGUGAAAAGACCAUGUGCAAACUUAGAGACAUCAAGAUAUUAAAGUUGACGGUUUUGGCUGAAUCACUGGUAUUAUUAUAUAGAGAAAACUGAUCCCCAGAGAUAGUCAGUAACCACAUGUUCACAUAGCUCACCAGUUAGCUGAAGAACCUGAACCUAAGCCCAGAUUACAUUAUGAUGUUCUGUUUUAAUUCAGUAUUGCUGAAACAAAGUAAUAAAUUUUUUUAAAUUGUUAAAAUAAUCAAUUAUAUGGCUAAUUCUGACAGAAAUUUACAAUCAUCUUUAAUUUCAGAAUUCUGCAGACCUCCAUAUUUUCCAUCUGCAAUGUAAUUUCUUUUUGGAUUUUGAGUCUCUCAUGACUGUACCGGCUUCCUGCAAGAAACUUGAGGAAAUGAAAAUUUCUGGACUAUUUUUUAAACCCAUUCCAUUUGGUAAGAAUUAUAAUUGUAACAUUUUGGUUAAAGAACUUUUUCAAAAUAGCCAAAUCUUAAACAUGCAAAUGAUGUCAAAGAACAAACCAUUGCAAUGGAUACCUGAUAUUAAGUGAAUUUUCAAGGUAACGUACUUUUGUUUCUAGAUGUUUAAAUAUUUCUAGUUAUCAGAAUUGUUUGCAGUGCAAAGACUGAAUGAUCUACUUAAGUCAUACUAAUUAACUGAAUCUGAAUUAUUAAUUUCUAUCACUUAAAAUUUUUUUUUUUUAAUUUUAGGGCUGCACCCACGGCAUAUGGAGGUUCCCAGGCAAGGGGUGUAGUCGGAGCUAUAGCUGCCGGCCUACGCCAGAGCCACAGCAAUGUGGGAUCCUAGCCGCGUCUUCGACCCACACCACGGCUCACGGCAAUGCCGGAUCCUUAACCCACUGAGCAAGGCCAGGGAUCGAACCCGCAACCUCAUGGUUCUUAGUCAGAUUCGUUAACCACUGAGCCACAACGGGAACUCCAUCCUUGUCAUUUUUUAACACAGGAAAAUAUACGGGGAGUCAGUGGAAAUGUGGAGCAUAAAGCGUGAAGUUGCUCCUGCCUCUUUCCAUCUUUUGGAGGCAGCUCUGUGGGUAGGGGAGGGGCAUGGAGGCUGAGGCAGGAUCAGGGGCUAAGGAGGUGGGUAGCAUAUAACAGGGUGAUCUAGAAAGUAGCACACUUAAUAUAAUGAGAGGCAAGUUUCUUUACUGUUGGAGAAGAAAUUUAUAAAUAGUGAAAGGGGAGGAAAGAAUUUUGAGGUGUUAAAUUAGAAUUGGAAAUACCGGUGUGGACUCAUGGUUUUUAACCUAUAUUGAUGUGAUACCUGUAUCUAUAUCUCACUAUACACGCAUGUAUCCAUGUUUUUCAGCCCAGUCAACUGACAAGACUAGAAAGUACCCUAAUAGCAACGAGCAUACCAGCUAUCUAGAUCUUGACUUUGAAAUACUGGCCUCCCUAAAAGGAACCAGGGGGUCCUGGGAGAAAUGGCUAACAUAAGAACCAGGACAGGAAAGGAGAAAAUAAGCCCAUAAUAUUGUUCAUGCCAGAAAGUGUUCACAACAGGUCCAGGUGGGAGGCUGCAGUAGAGAACUUUCGAGAGAUCAAGUGAUCCAUAAUGCAUCAUGCUAAGGAGGGGGUUAAAGUGAACUGAAAACCUUGAGAAUGGUAGAUUGUGAGGCUUUAGUGUUAGAAGGCAGAGGCAGAAAUCCUUGAUGAUGGGUGGAAAAGAAAGAAGGAAAGGAAGAGGGCUGAAGACACCGAGGAGCAAGGAGAGUAUCCUGGAGGCGCUUCAAUCUAAGAGGAAGUGGCGGCGUCCCCUUGUGGCUCAGCAAGUUAAGGAUGCAGCAUUUCCCUGCUGUGGUGCAGAUUCAGUCCCUAGCCCAGGAACUUCUGCAUGCCACAGGUGAGGGCAAAAAAAUAAUGCUAAAUUUUUAUAAAUAAGAGGAAAUGGAUUUAGGAUAGGCAUUCUGGACUUCAGCGCAGAAGAGACGGGCUGGGAAGGGUGGAGGAAUGGUUGUUUAGAGGUAGCAGUGAAGAUCAAGGUGUAGGCGGACCCCUUUCUCUAGCCUUUGGAGAGGAAGAGGAAUAGUCUAUGCUACAUGGGGCCUCCUGGAAUAUGCAUGAUUUUAAGCUAUAGACAAUAAGAAACACAGUAUAGAAAAUAGCUUUUUUUUUUUUUUCCUCUUCUGAUAGCCUACACUUUAGGUGUUUUAAUAACCUGGAAGAAUUGAUCCUACUGGGGAUGGGAUCCAUCAAGUGGCUAAACUCAUCAUCCAACAGUGUCUGCACCUUCAACAUUUCUGAGUAAGCUCAUUUUCCAGGAUUUUGGAUGAUGACAGUAUGAUGGAAAUUGGUGAGCCACCCGCAGAUAAAACUGUUUCAGCUCACAUGAAAAGCCAGUGCUAUCACUCAGGCUUUCUGCUGCAAAAUGUCUACAAAGACAUUGCCCCUCUGAGAAUGUUCAGCCCAUUUCCUCAUUUUUACUAUCAUAUUGUUCCUUCUAGUGUUCUGUGGAUUUAGAUUCCUUCUGGUCAUAUCUGGAAGUAAAAGACAGCCUGCCUUUCAUUUGGUACAUUUUAGAAAUGUACCCCUUUUAAUCUUUCUAUGUCGUUAUAUUUAAAGUAUGUCUCUUAGAAAAACAUAUGGUUCAAAAAAUUUUUUUUUCUUUUUUGGCCACCCCAGGGCACAUGGAGUUCCUGGGCCAGCAACCAGAUCUCAGCUGCAAUUGCAACCUAUGCUGCAGCUGCGGCAAUGCCGGAUCCACAAGCCACUGUGCCAGGCCAGGGUUCGAACCUGCAUCCCAGUGCUCCCAAGAUGCUGCUGAUC
Molecule: long non-coding RNA, 4287 nt
Filed under: Sus scrofa (pig)
Lineage: Eukaryota; Metazoa; Chordata; Mammalia; Artiodactyla; Suidae
Description: lncRNA (ENSSSCG00000059780.1)
Source: RNAcentral